Molecule: long non-coding RNA, 5174 nt
Filed under: Cricetulus griseus (Chinese hamster)
Lineage: Eukaryota; Metazoa; Chordata; Mammalia; Rodentia; Cricetidae
Description: lncRNA (ENSCGRG00015030508.1)
Source: RNAcentral
GUCACUGGGGUGGAAUUUGAGGUUUCAGAGGCUUAAACUGGGCCCAGUGUCUCUCUUUCUUCCUGCUGCCUGAGGAUCCAGAUUCAGAUGUACAACUCUUGGCUCCUUCUCCAGCACCAUGUCUGUUUGCAAACGGCCAUGCUUCCUGCCAUAAUGACAAUGGUUUGAACCUCGGAACUGCUAGCGCUGUGCAUGAUUCUGCUGAUUGACUAUGGCUGCAAUGAUAUACCCUAGCCUUCAGGAGACAUUGUCAAUUUCCAUUAGUUCUCUAGGAGCUCAGUCAGGUUACCAAGGGAACAAGCUCCAGCCAAUCUGCCAGAACCUGAAUGUUACAUGGAAUACAGGAGGGAUCCAGUAAAUACUCAGAAUGUCACCUGAUUGAAAUCCACAAAUCUAUGCUUCUUUCUCCUUGGAACCCUUGCAGCUCAUCACUACCCUUUUCAUCACUCAUGGACAUGAAGCAAGCAUGUAGACCUCUCAACACCAACCUCUUUCCUGCAAGAAUUGCCCCCUGAUUGUGAGAGAGAUUAUUCGUGGGGAAUUGGCACGGUGGCUCUAUAACUUUCUUUUGUUCUUCACCAGUGAUCUGGAAGGUUUCCAGAGAAAAGUCUCUUUCUUUCCACCUCGGUGAAUUCAAGCAGGGUUGUUGCUGCCCUUCUUGCCUGGAAGACAUUGUCACAGAAUUUUGGAAGAGUCCUGCUUGCUCCACCACAAGAGCUUGUCCAGAUGGACCCAGAGCACCUCCAUCUCCCUUGGGCCCUCAUCUCCCUGGCACACCAGGCCCAAGCUGAAGGUAUUCUCAAGGGCAGUCUCUCUUCUUUCUGGUGGUGAAGGUAGAAUCCUCUACCCAGAACACAGGGCACACAGGGCACAGUCUGCGUGUUGUUUUCUUUGCAGUUGCAGCCUCUUGCUGUUUCUCUAGCUCUCCAGUGCCAGACAGGGGCUUCCACUCCUCGUUCCCACUGCUUGGAAAGCAUCUGGAGCCUUUGCUUCUCUCUAGCUUCACUAGACUGCUUCGCUCAUCCCAUCCCACCCUCUCCUCCUCCCUAUCUAAACUUUGCCCCUCUCCAUCUGACCUCUAUUCUUAGAUGAUGUAUGUACAGUAGGUGUCCCUUAGCCAUUGAGAUCCCACACAGUAAGUUGUGUAAAGAAAGUAGGAGCAGAGAUAGUUUCUAAGUGACUCCAAAUUUAACGUGGGAUGUUGUUUCAUUUUUUAAAAGAGACUAAGAAUAUAGAUCAAUUAAUGAGAUCAGUGGGAGCAGAUAAAUCAAGGUACAGUAAAUCGUAUAAAAGCUUGAUAGGCAGAGCCAAAGCUGGGAGUUCACACAGUUAAGAUCUAUUUGAUCCCUGGGGAUGGCGACAGACAAGUUUUGUUGCAGACAAGUGUUUAUUGCAGGUGGAUCUUAUUUUUGCCAUAAUUAUGUAAAACCCAAUAGAGUUCAUGAGGAGAAUGGACAUAGAACCCAAGAGAAGCCUGCCAUGGUAGCCAGAGGCCGACUGAGCAGAGACACUGCGGCUUACCUGCUAGUAGAGCUGGAACCAUAUGCAGAAACAGAUGUCACUGAGUGAUGAGGCUGUCAAGCCCACUCUAGGCUGUUUGUGAAUUUAUGUCAUCCCAGAAAAUAAGAGAAUCUUUUCACCAAGACCACAGAUAGUGCUGACAAUCUCAAACCACGGGGUCUUGUAAAUAGGACAUGCUGAUUCAGCUAAAUUAAAGUGUUGUCUGUGGAGAAACCUAGGCUACACAUUAGACAGGUCAGAGCUCCACCCAAUUCUGAAUUUACCUGCUGGACACCUCAGAUGGUGCCUGACUUCUCUGGACACAGUCUCUUCAAAUGAAGUUGGAUUGCUAAAGCCUAUCCCACAGGGUUGUGAUUUUUCAUGGGAAGAGAUAGACAUAAUACCUGGGUAUACUAGCUUAUGGUAGCACUUAUCCUAGCUGUACAGGAGGGAAGGAGAGAGAGAGAGAGAGAGAGAGAGAGAGAGAGAGAGAGAGAGAGAGAGAGAACAGAUCCAGGUAAAAUAUCUGAACAGGUUAAAAGUCUCCAGAAACUAGAAGAUGACAUGAAUGUUAUGUGAUUUCAAUAAAUUUACUUAGUAACAUGAUCAUGCACUAUAUAAAAUUUUGAUCAACAAAAUGGGCCACAUUUAUGCAGGUCAUCCCAUAAAAUUGUAUCAUCUAGUAACAUCUUAAUUUUAUAAAUAUUAUUUAUCUGUUAUUUGUACAAAAAAGAAGUUAUACAAUGUCUCAUUUUUAAUAAUUAAGCAAUGUACCACUGUACUGUGCCUUAGGUUUACACUGGUGCAAUGGACACAAACAUCACAGGUUUUUUUUUUUCCCCUCAGAAAACUUGAGGGCUGUUGAAAGAAAGGCACAGGCAGAGGCUAGCAGCCCAGUUGGUGAAUUGGUGUAACUGACGAGGGGGGUAGAGAAGACAGGUAGCAACCAGGCUGAGCCGGGAUUCCAAACAAUAUUUGUGAGUGAGCUGUCACCCAUGAGACUGUGGAAGGACAAGGGGACAGGGCCCACAGGCCAGGGGGUGGGGAGACUAUGCAGUCUUCCUAUCCCAGGAAGAGAAGUUAGCUCCCUAAGGCAGGCUGGGCAGAUGAUGACUUACAAGUGCUUCAUGCUCGCUAUUUGCUGACAGACCAUGGACAACUUCCUUAUAAGUAAAAACAGUAGAAAAGGGUAAGUAGAUUGAGCAAUUUCUCAGCCAAAAGAGCUUUCCCAGGCUUGCAUUUCCCUAUGGCUUGUGCAUCCAAUGGUUGCUUCUUUACCAUUUUUCUCUCGGAGGUUAAAUUUAUUUCUGGUCCUUUGAUCCUACUCAACCUAUUCUUCUUGGCUUAGAGUGGAGGCAAUUCCUCCUCCUCAAGCCAUCCUCUGCCUUCUCUGGGGUGAUGGCUAAGUAGGUUGGGGUGUCCAUUUAUUAGUUCACGACUUCUCUUUGUUGCACUAGUUCCAGUGGGCCAGGAUCCACAGCUUGGGGGCAGGGGACAUUGCAGGGAGAUUGAGGAAUCUUUCUGAAGGUAAGAUGCAAGCACUUCCUAGGGCAGCAGCACCUCCUAGAGGACAUUGACCUUGACCGACUUUCUGUUUCAGGAAGCUAGGAAAUGCAGGGGUGACCCCUCCCCACACUCCAAGGACAGAAAACUCCCUCUUUGAGCCUUCAUCCAGCAGCUGAUGGAAGCAGAAGCAGACACUCACAGCUAAACACUGAACUGAACUCCUGAAAUCCAGUUGCAGAGAGAGAGAGAGAGCAGUGAUGAGCAAAGGGGUCAAGACCAGGCUGGAGAAACUCACAGAAACAGCUGACCUGAACAAGGUGGGGGGCUCCUGGACUACAGACUGAUAGCUGGGAAACCAGCAUAGGACUGAUCUAGACCCCAUGAAUGUGGGUGUUUUGAGGUCUAGACAACCUAGGGGGCCACUGGUAGUGGAUCAGUAUUUACCCCUAGUACAUGAAUGAACUUUGGGAGCCUUCUCCACAUAGAGGGCUAGACACAUGGGAGAGGGUCUAGGCCCUGCUCCAAAUGGUGACAGACUUUGAAGAUCCCCCAUGGAAUGCCUCACCCUCCCUGGGGAGCAGAAAGGGAGUGGGAUAGGGGGUCGGUUUGGGGGAGCAGGAGAGGAGGGGAAGGAGAGGGAACUGGGAUUGACAUGUAAAACAAGCUUGUUUCUAAUUUCAAUUUUAAAAAAGAAAGAGAAAAAAAUUGCCCUCUUUCCUGCUGUCAGUCAUUUAUUUAUAUUCUCAAGAUUCUGUGUCCUUAAAACUUGCUCUGCUUGUUGGUUUCAGGUGACUCAUCCUUGCCCAGGGCAGACUCUGCUCCUGCCCCAGUCACCUGUCAGCCCACUAAUUGAUACAUUAUUCUUUUUCCCAUGGAUAGUUGUUGAAUUUGAGUCUUAUGCUUAUAUCUUUUUUCACAUUUUUAAAGAGCUUAAUUGUAUGUGGAUGAGUGCUUUGCCUGCAUGUGUGCUUGUAUGUAUGUGCACCACAUAUGUGCCUGCUGCCCAUGCAGGUCAGAAGACGGAGUAAGACCCCCUGGAACUCGAGUUAUAAGCAACCAUGGGGGUGCUAGGAACUGAAUGUAUACUGAGCCAUCUCUCCAGCCCAGCGUUGGUAUUUUUUUGUUUGUUUUCUUCAUUUAGUUAUGUUCCUGUCUUCUCUUCAUCCUUGGCUCUGCCAAUGCACCCUUCAUCUUGAGGUAGACUCCUGGCUUCUCAACUCCUUCCCUCCAGUGAUUUGGAAGGACUCAGCAUUCUCCUGGGUAGAAGAGACAACUAGACAAGCCCUUCUUUUCUCCUUUUCUCCCUGUCAGAUGCUUCCUUCCAGAACUGAGGGAGCUGAGCCCCUGGAGAGCUGCCUGGGCUCUAGGAGUGGGGGGGAAAGGUGCUGUCCACAGAGUGGCCCAGCAGGGGCUCAAGAAGCUGAAAGUAAACAAGUCAAAGGAUGACAAUAAGAAAUUGUCACUGUAGGGAACUCUUUGACACCAUCUCUCUGGGCUCCUUUCUUCUAGGGUGGCCUCUGACAGCCCUCCUCCAACCUGCUGUCCUCUGGUAGAGGUAGGCAGCAUCCAGCAGCAAGGCACACUUCACUCUUGUCUGACAAAGGCUGGUCCAGACUCGAUUCUCUUAUCAUCCCAGCAGCCAGGUCCUGCCAUGUUGGAGAACAAUAACAGAUUCAGCCUUCCGUGUUCAUCAUUACCCUGCACCUUUAAUCAGGAGUGUUAUCCGCAGCUCCUGCCCGGGCCUCAUUUAGAUUUCUUGUUUGUAGCAAUAAUACCCUUUUAAUAUGCUAAAUGAGCGAGCAAAUGAGCCUUCCUCCACUUGCGAGGUUUUUAAAAACAUCCCUUCUUUAGUGGAUGAAGGUCAUUCUUUUGGCAGAUUAAUACUUAACUAGGAGGCACUGUUUAUUGUCUGGGGUCACUUCGGCGGCUGUCACAGCAUAUUAAAGAGCGCAGGAUUGCCCCUGCCAGAACAAUGCAGCUAGGUGGGGGACACAGGAGGGGCAACCACUCACCCGGUUCCCUUCCUUGGCUCUCAUUUAAACUCUGCAGCCGUUAUUAAUACUUUAAUUUGUAGUGCAUUAAUGAAUUCUAAUCCCCAUUAUGUGUUGAGCAAAUGGGCCUUCAACAGGCUCUGUGCAACCCAAGUGGGUCCUGGCUGCAGGUUAGAG